Molecule: long non-coding RNA, 210 nt
Filed under: Elaeis guineensis (African oil palm)
Lineage: Eukaryota; Viridiplantae; Streptophyta; Magnoliopsida; Arecales; Arecaceae
Description: long non-coding RNA (EGUI_LNC013811)
Source: RNAcentral
CCUUGUACCAUUUUGAUUAUUAUUAAUAAACUAGUAGAGGUCCAUGCCAAAUCCUCGACUAUUACAAGAUGAUUUUUUAUUUUUACAAUAAAAAUCCAACAUCUAUAUUUAAUUUUGCUCCUUGAUACUUUUUUAAUUUGUAAAGAAAAUCAUAUUUUUUAAAUUCAAAAAAAAGACCAACCCAGCAUGUGGGCUGUGCCAUGCUUGGAU